AUUGCAGUAGGGAAUCUUCGGCAAUGGACGAAAGUCUGACCGAGCGACGCCGCGUGUGGGAUGAAGGUCUUCGGAUUGUAAACCACUGUCGAGGGGGAUUAAGGGAAACUUGAAAGAACCCUGGAGGAAGGGGAGGCUAAGCUCGUGCCAGCAGCCGCGGUAAGACGAGCUCCCCAAACGUUAUUCGGUAUUACUGGGCUUAAAGAGUUCGUAGGCGGCGAAGUAGGUGAGGUGUGAAAGCCCUCGGCUCAACCGAGGAACUGCGCUUCAAACCACUUUGCUAGAGGGAGAUAGGGGUAAGCGGAACAGAUGGUGGAACGGUGAAAUGUAUUGAUAUCAUCUGGAACACCGGUGGCGAAAGCGGCUUACUGGGUCUUUUCUGACGCUGAGGAACGAAGGCCAGGGGAGCAAACGGGAUUAGAUACCCCGGUAGUCCUGGCAGUAAACGGUGCACGUUUGGUGUGGGAGGAUUCGACCCCUUCCGUGCCGGAGCUAACGCGUUAAACGUGCCGCCUGGGGAGUACGGUCGCAAGAUUAAAACUCAAAGGAAUUGACGGAAUC
RNAcentral lists this ribosomal RNA (561 nucleotides) under uncultured bacterium. Its description in RNAcentral is "bacterial SSU rRNA". It matches the Rfam family "Bacterial small subunit ribosomal RNA", at positions 348 to 920 of the family's 1533-position model. The record is from RNAcentral.